Molecule: ribosomal RNA, 402 nt
Filed under: uncultured bacterium
Lineage: Bacteria
Description: bacterial SSU rRNA
Rfam family: Bacterial small subunit ribosomal RNA
Source: RNAcentral
GGAAUAUUGGGCAAUGGGCGAAAGCCUGACCCAGCAACGCCGCGUGAAGGAAGAAGGUUUUCGGAUUGUAAACUUCUGUUAUAGGGGAAGAAAAAGAUGACGGUACCCUAUGAGAAAGCUACGGCAAACUAUGUGCCAGCAGCCGCGGUAAUACAUAGGUAGCGAGCGUUAUCCGGAAUAACUGGGCGUAAAGGGAGUGUAGGUGGCGAUUUAGGUCUUAUGUGAAAGCCCAUGGCUUAACUGUGGGAUUGCAUAAGAAACCGGGUUGCUAGAGUGCGAGAGAGGCAAGUGGAAUUCCUAGUGUAGCGGUAGAAUGCGUAGAGAUUAGGAGGAACACCAGAGGCGAAGGCGACUUGCUGGCUCGCAACUGACACUGAGACUCGAAAGCGUGGGGAGCAAACA